AGCACUAUAUUUUGACCAGUGGAUGGGAAUUUUCCCCAUUCUUGGUUACGCUGUAUGUGCUAAAGAAUUCCUUGGCUCUUUGUCUUGCACAGCUGACUCUAUGCCAUUGUGCUGUUGCUGUAUGGAGUUAAGGAGCAUAG
This 140-nucleotide small nucleolar RNA is filed under the name Procavia capensis (Cape rock hyrax). RNAcentral describes it as "Small nucleolar RNA SNORA46 (ENSPCAG00000019035.1)". It matches the Rfam family "Small nucleolar RNA SNORA46". From Rfam's summary of the family: ACA46 is a member of the H/ACA class of snoRNA that guide the sites of modification of uridines to pseudouridines. The record is from RNAcentral. Lineage: Eukaryota; Metazoa; Chordata; Mammalia; Hyracoidea; Procaviidae.